CUACGGGCGGCUCCAGUCGAGAAUCAUUCGCAAUGCACGAAAGUGUGACGAUGCGACGCCGCGUGGAGGAUGACGGCCUUCGGGUUGUAAACUCCUGUCAGCAGGGAGCAACGCUUCGUCGGGUAAUACCUGAUGAAUUUGAUAGUACCUGCAGAGGAAGUCACGGCUAACUCUGUGCCAGCAGCCGCGGUAAUACAGAGGUGGCAAGCGUUAAUCGGAAUUACUGGGCGUAAAGGGUCCGUAGGCGGCCUGGUGUGUCGGGUGUGAAAUGCCACAGCUCAACUGUGGAAUGGCACUCGAAACUGCCGGGCUAGAGUUCUGGAGGGGAGAAGGGAACAGUUAGUGUAGCGGUGAAAUGCGUAGAUAUUAACUGGAACACCGGUGGCGAAGGCGCUUCUCUGGACAGAUACUGACGCUCAUGGACGAAAGCUAAGGGAGCGAAAGGGAUUAGAUACCCUUGUAGUC
Molecule: ribosomal RNA, 465 nt
Filed under: uncultured bacterium
Lineage: Bacteria
Description: partial 16S ribosomal RNA
Rfam family: Bacterial small subunit ribosomal RNA
Source: RNAcentral